Molecule: ribosomal RNA, 497 nt
Filed under: Panorpodes paradoxus
Lineage: Eukaryota; Metazoa; Arthropoda; Insecta; Mecoptera; Panorpodidae
Description: partial 28S rRNA
Source: RNAcentral
AAACCUGAGAAACCCGAAAGUUCGAAUGAAAAGAUUCAAUAUUCUUCAAUUGGUUGUACAUUUACUUUGUGAUUAUGUGAUAGUUUUGUGUUAAUUUCUUUAUCCUUGGAUUUUGAAUGUACAUAUUCUACACCACUUUGUUUAUGAACUAAAUACAACUAUGAAGGUAUGCACUUCUUUUCUAGUAGGACGUUGCGACCCAUUGAAUGUUAAUCUACGGCUACUCGUUAGAGCCUAUUCCUAUUUUACUUAAUUGUAUUUAUGGGAAAUAGAUUUCUGAGUGUGUCCCGAAUAACUGUUCGAUGGUAUUAUAAAACCAUAAUAUUGGAUCGCCACUUUGUCUGGGCAUUUGGUAUUCAUUCAAGUAUGUAAGGUAAUUUAAAUGUCAGGGGCUCUUGUACUGGCUUUGAAUCCUAACUACUGUUCGAGUGAAAUUUACUAUCAAAUAGUAUCCUUUUAUUGGUCAGCAACGCUGUUGCUUUGGGUACUUUCAGGAC